This 76-nucleotide transfer RNA is filed under the name Chloroflexota bacterium. Its description in RNAcentral is "tRNA-Phe". It matches the Rfam family "tRNA". Rfam says of the family: Transfer RNA (tRNA) molecules are approximately 80 nucleotides in length. Their secondary structure includes four short double-helical elements and three loops (D, anti-codon, and T loops). The record is from RNAcentral. Lineage: Bacteria; Bacillati; Chloroflexota.
GGAACUGUAGCUUAUGUGGUAAAAGCAGUGGUCUGAAAAACCAUUGAUAAGGGUUCAACUCCCUUCGGUUCUACCA